Oncorhynchus keta (chum salmon) is the source of this 1812-nucleotide long non-coding RNA. RefSeq lists it as uncharacterized. The record is from RefSeq and is a predicted model, not a curated record. NCBI's taxonomy places the organism in Eukaryota, Metazoa, Chordata, Actinopteri, Salmoniformes, Salmonidae. The transcript is spliced from 3 exons.
CAGAGCUGGUACUAGUGCCCUGGGUCAGAGACAGGACAGAGCUGGUACUAGUCCCCUGGGUCAGAGACAGGACAGAGCUGGUACUAGUCCUCUGGGUUAAGGGGACAGUCAGUCCCCUGGGUCAGAGACAGAACAGAGCUGGUAGCAGUCCUCUGGGUUAAGGGGACAGUCAGUCCCCUGGAACAGAGACAGGACAGAGCUGGUACUAUUCCUCUGGGUUAAGGGGACAGUCAGUCCCAGCAUGUCCUUGAUGUAAAUGCGCAGGCUUACAUUGUGUGUCUUUUUAAAGCACCACGGUCAUAAACUAUAGACCCCUUCUGAAAUGUUCAGCAUGUCACCCUGUUCCUGAUGCCUGUAUGUUGUCAGCUGGUCUCUGUACUACAGAACAGGGUUGAGAGGUGGUUGUCAGCUGGUCUCUGUACUAGAGAACAGGAUUGAGAGGUGGUUGUCAGCUGGUCUCUGUACUACAGAACAGGGUUGAGAGGUGGUUGUCAGCUGGUAUCUGUACUACAGAACAGAGUUUAGGUGGUUGUCAGCUGGUCUCUGUACUACAGAACAGAGUUUAGGUGGUUGUCAGCUGGUCUCUGUACUACAGAACAGGGUUGAGAGGUGGUUGUCAGCUGGUCUCUGUACUACAGAACAGGGUUGAGGUAGUUGUCAGCUGGUCUCUGUACUACAGAACAGGGUUGAGGUGGUUGUCAGCUGGUCUCUGUACUACAGAACAGGGUUGAGGUGGUUGUCAGCUGGUCUCUGUACUACAGAACAGGGUUGAGAGGUGGUUGUUAGCUGGUCUCUGUACUACAGAACAGAGUUUAGGUGGUUGUCAGCUGGUCUCUGUACUACAGAACAGGGUUGAGAGGUGGGGGAGCUAUAAAUGCUUCCACUAUGUCAACUAGAGUUAUUCCACCAUGUCAACUAGUUAUUCCACCAUGUCAACUGGUUAUUCCACCAUGUCAACUAGAGUUAUUCCACCAUGUCAACUAGAGUUAUUCCACCAUGUCAACUAGAGUUAUUCCACCAUGUCCACCAUGUCAACUAGAGUUAUUCCAUCAUGUCAACUAGAGUUAUUCCAUCAUGUCAAGUAGAGUUAUUCCACCAUGUCAAGUAGAGUUAUUCCACCAUGUCAACUAGAGUUAUUCCACCAUGUCAACUAGAGUUAUUCCACCAUGUCAACUAGAGUUAUUCCACCAUGUCAACUAGAGUUAUUCCACCAUGUCAACUAGUUAUUCCACCAUGUCAACUAGAGUUAUUCCACCAUGUCAACUAGAGUUAUUCCACCAUGUCAACUAGUUAUUCCACCAUGUCCACUAGAGUUAUUCCUCCAUGUCCACUAGUUAUUCCACCAUGUCAACUAGAGUUAUUCCACAAUGUCCACCAUGUCAACUAGUUAUUCCACCAUGUCAACAUGAGUUAUUCCACCAUGUCAACUAGAGUUAUUCCAUCAUGUCAACUAGAGUUAUUCCACAAUGUCCACCAUGUCAACUAGAGUUAUUCCACCAUGUCAACUAGAGUUAUUCCACCAUGUCAACUAGAGUUAUUCCACCAUGUCAACUAGAGUUAUUCCACCAUGUCAACUGGAGUUAUUCCACCAUGUCAACUAGAGUUAUUCCACCAUGUCAACUAGAGUUAUUCCACCAUGUCAACUGGAGUUAUUCCACCAUGUCAACUAGAGUUAUUCCACCAUGUCAACUAGAGUUAUUCCACCAUGUCAACUAGAGUUAUUCCACCAUGUCAACUAGAGUUAUUCCACCAUGUCAACUAGAGUUAUUCCACCAUGUCAACUAGAGUUAUUCCACCAUGUCAACUAGAGUU